UCUCAUAGAUAGCUCAAAUCUUUUUUGACUUUAGAUUUUUUUUCUCUGGCUGUUUUUGCUGGUCUAUGUUUUCUAAUGAACUAAAUAGUCAUUUAACUUGUCCCCCAAUUUCUCUUGUAUUUAUCAGGACUGCACUAAAUAUAUACAGUAAUAUCUGGUACCUGAAUGUAGACAGAAAUCACAUUUUUAUGAUACUGAGUCUUCUUUCUUUCACAGUUCCUCUCCCACGAGGUCAGGCACUCAGAUUUCCCUUUUGCUCCUCUGUGUACUCCAAAGGGCUGGCCCAGAGCCUGGCAUAUGCUGGUGCUUGACUCUUACUUGCAGAAUGAAUGAUGAAUUAUUGAAUGAGUUCUACUUCUGAUGUGCAAGCUUCAUAACAAGGCAUUUCUGAAGGAAGAGGAAGAAAGUAAGCAAGUCCCUGGAAAACGUUCUACAAGGCUGUCUAAAACAUACACCGAGAUGGUUUUACCCAUGCUUAUGCAACCUCCUGUUUUGGAUAUUCAGCUGGAUACAAACCUUCAGAAUCUUUUCA
This is a long non-coding RNA of Macaca mulatta (Rhesus monkey), 532 nucleotides long. RefSeq lists it as uncharacterized. The record is from RefSeq and is a predicted model, not a curated record. Lineage: Eukaryota; Metazoa; Chordata; Mammalia; Primates; Cercopithecidae.